AAUGAUUUAACUGCACAUCUCAGCCCAUGAGAAGUACACUUUGUAAUUGACCACCUGUGAAUCUGUAUGGAAGCCAUAUAGAAUAAAAGAAAGAGAGCUGUGUAGGGAUGAAACGGUUACCGGUUUCACGAUCAACCACAGUACAAUUCCCUACGAUUAGUAUUACCGUUUGAAAUUUGAAUUAUCAUUAAAAACUGUGUUUGAUUACCACGGUUUGGAAAAACUCGCGGUAAAUACUGUCCAGCAUCAACCAAAUUUAGCAACGGUCUGACGCAGGCGCAGCAUGCAACGUGGGUUUUGUUUUGUGUGAAAACAUGACGGAAGGAAAUGACAGCACUCGGGAGAUUUGUCAGCCUUCCAAGAGGACCACAUGUUAAGUGUGGUCGUAUUUUAUUUAUUUUUUUACAAGAGUGUUGAGGGGAAACUUCAUCGAAGAUGAUCACCUUGUCUGCAGAACAACAACACCAAAAAAUCGCUGCGAAAGGGCGCAACACUUCAAAUCUCUUAGGUCAAUCUUCAUGACCACCACCCCACUACUUUAUAGCGAAUGCAAGAGAUGGACGUGCAGCAGGCAAACCCAGUGAUGCUUACAGGUCUCUCCUCGUCUACAGUUGUGACACAGACACUCUAGCAUUUAAAAAGGCAGGCUGCUUAUGCACCCACAUCAACAACAACAACAAAAAUGCUCAAGACCUCGACUGUAGCCCUUUCAUAUUACAUUGCAAAGGACGUGAUGCCAUUUCAAAUUGUUGAGAGGCCUGGCUUUCUGAGGCUGAUGAAGGUUGCCGUGCCUCACUACAAUGUGAGUGCUGCUAAUUGUAUUUGUUGUUUAUUGGUUUUCAAUAUAAAACUUGGUGAAAUGA
Long non-coding RNA from Oncorhynchus kisutch (coho salmon), 863 nucleotides. RefSeq lists it as uncharacterized. The record is from RefSeq and is a predicted model, not a curated record. Lineage: Eukaryota; Metazoa; Chordata; Actinopteri; Salmoniformes; Salmonidae. The transcript has 2 exons.